AACGAACGCUGGCGGCAGGCCUAACACAUGCAAGUCGAGCGUGCCCUUCGGGGUGAGCGGCGGACGGGUGAGUAACGCGUGGGAACGUGCCCUUUUCUACGGAAUAGCCUCGGGAAACUGAGAGUAAUACCGUAUACGCCCUUUGGGGGAAAGAUUUAUCGGAAAAGGAUCGGCCCGCGUUGGAUUAGGUAGUUGGUGGGGUAAUGGCCUACCAAGCCGACGAUCCAUAGCUGGUUUGAGAGGAUGAUCAGCCACACUGGGACUGAGACACGGCCCAGACUCCUACGGGAGGCAGCAGUGGGGAAUCUUAGACAAUGGGGGCAACCCUGAUCUAGCCAUGCCGCGUGAGUGAUGAAGGCCUUAGGGUUGUAAAGCUCUUUCAGCUGGGAAGAUAAUGACGGUACCAGCAGAAGAAGCCCCGGCUAACUCCGUG
Molecule: ribosomal RNA, 433 nt
Filed under: uncultured bacterium
Lineage: Bacteria
Description: partial 16S ribosomal RNA
Rfam family: Bacterial small subunit ribosomal RNA
Source: RNAcentral